Small nuclear RNA from Pygocentrus nattereri (red-bellied piranha), 167 nucleotides. Its record names the gene U2. It matches the Rfam family "U2 spliceosomal RNA". Rfam says of the family: U2 is a small nuclear RNA (snRNA) component of the spliceosome (involved in pre-mRNA splicing). The record is from Ensembl. Lineage: Eukaryota; Metazoa; Chordata; Actinopteri; Characiformes; Serrasalmidae.
AUCGCUUCUUGGCCUCUGGCCUUUUCAGUUUAAUAUCUGAUACGUCCUCUAUAUAAGGACUACAUAUUAAAUUGAUUUUUAGAACAGGGAGACGGAAUAGGGGCUUGUUCCGCCCGCUCCACGCAUCGACCUGGUAUUGCAGUACCUCCGGGAACGGUACACCUCCU